Molecule: unclassified non-coding RNA, 232 nt
Filed under: Hevea brasiliensis (rubber tree)
Lineage: Eukaryota; Viridiplantae; Streptophyta; Magnoliopsida; Malpighiales; Euphorbiaceae
Source: RNAcentral
GGGUCAUUCCUUAUUUAGUUAUUUCUCUCUUUCCUCUUUUUUACUUUGCUCUCAUGAUUUUAAGUAUUAGUAUUAUUCUUUUAAUGAAUAAUGAAAAUUAAUAAAAAAUGGAAGAAUGUAAAAAAAUUCCUGUAAUUGAAAGAGUUAUAGUGAAUAAAGAUAGAACCAAGGACUUAAUUGAAAAGUGCUUGGCAAGGAGGGAUUUAUGGAGUAGUUGUCCACCUCUAAAUAA